GCGGGUGGCGAAAUUGGUAGACGCACCAGGUUUAGGUCCUGACGGUAGCAAUACUGUGCGGGUUCGAGUCCCGCCCCGC
RNAcentral lists this transfer RNA (79 nucleotides) under Comamonadaceae bacterium CG_4_9_14_3_um_filter_60_33. RNAcentral describes it as "tRNA-Leu". It matches the Rfam family "tRNA". From Rfam's summary of the family: Transfer RNA (tRNA) molecules are approximately 80 nucleotides in length. Their secondary structure includes four short double-helical elements and three loops (D, anti-codon, and T loops). The record is from RNAcentral. Lineage: Bacteria; Pseudomonadati; Pseudomonadota; Betaproteobacteria; Burkholderiales; Comamonadaceae.